This 253-nucleotide ribosomal RNA is filed under the name uncultured bacterium. RNAcentral's name for it is "partial 16S ribosomal RNA". It matches the Rfam family "Bacterial small subunit ribosomal RNA", at positions 524 to 776 of the family's 1533-position model. The record is from RNAcentral.
GACGAAGCGAGCGAACGUUGUUCGGAAUCACUGGGCUUAAAGGGCGCGUAGGCGGCUUGCCAAGUCAGGGGUGAAAUUUUGCGGCUUAACCGUAACAGUGCCUUUGAUACUGGCAGGCUAGAGGGAGACAGGGGUCCGCGGAACUUCUGGUGGAGCGGUGAAAUGCGUUGAUAUCAGAAGGAACGCCGGUGGCGAAAGCGGCGGACUGGAUCUUUUCUGACGCUGAGGCGCGAAAGCUAGGGGAGCAAACGGG